This 168-nucleotide ribosomal RNA is filed under the name Plasmodium coatneyi. RNAcentral's name for it is "5.8S ribosomal RNA". The stretch from base 1 to 141 matches the Rfam family "5.8S ribosomal RNA". Rfam says of the family: 5.8S ribosomal RNA (5.8S rRNA) is a component of the large subunit of the eukaryotic ribosome. It is transcribed by RNA polymerase I as part of the 45S precursor that also contains 18S and 28S rRNA. The record is from RNAcentral. Lineage: Eukaryota; Apicomplexa; Aconoidasida; Haemosporida; Plasmodiidae.
CUUAACGAUGGAUGUCUUGGUUCCUACAGCGAUGAAGGCCGCAGCGAAAUGCGAUACGCAAUGAAAAUUGCAGUGACUGUGAAUCAUCUGAACGCUGAAUGUAAACUACACUGAAAAGGAGGUCUUUUUACCCAAAAGGAUCCUCUAAAAUUGAUAGUACUUCUAUUA